CUUCUGCAAGAAGAGAUCAGGACACAGACACACACAGAGGGGGACCCUGGAGGACACAGAAUGCAGGAGCCCAGGAGGGGACCUGGGGAGACACAGACCCUGCUGAUGGGCACAUUUUAGACGUGGCUUCCAGAACGGAGGACAUACGUCUGGAUGUGAAGCCACUGGGUGGCACUUGGUCAAGGCAGCCCUGGCAAACUACCCUCCAUCUGGUGGUAUUGCGCGUCUUUUCCUGCUCAGAGAACGUCACCUGUCCCUCGUCCCGUCCCCUAGGAGCACUUCUGAGCCUUCCUGUCAUGGGUACAUAAGUCUGGGUGGCGUCUGGAAGGAAGGUGUGUUCACGAUUCAAUCCCAGCUAAUGGAUUGUGUCACUUUCCAUUUUUGCUCUUCCUGCUCAACCUGCCCCCCAGUUCCCAGUGCUCGAGAAGAACAGAAUCUGCGUGAUGGAAGCCCUCGCGCAGGGCGGGGGGGAUGGGAAGGCCCGAGAUGGCUGGCUGCGGGUCCAGGACUCCUGCUCUGGCCACGCGGGCGGCCCCCUCUUCUCCCCUGGGCCCAGUUUAGAGCACUUACAUUCUCACCUGCGGCUUCCACGUUCUUUCAGCGAGAGUCCUCCAUGGACACAGGUCCGCCAUUUGUGUCUUGGGUGUUGAAGCUCAUCCUCUGGUUGUGCCUUCGAGAAAGGUCCCCGGUGCCAUCCUCCCUGCAUUCCAGUGUCCUUGGAAAUCCUUGUCUGCAGACAAGACUGGGAAACCAGGGUAGUUAUAAAACUUUGGGGUCAACCAAGCACAGCAGCUUGUGUCUAUGAUCCCAGUAACCUGGGAGGCUGAGGCAGGAGGCUCCCAAGGUCAAGGUCAGCCUCUGCAACUUAGCGGAACCCUGCCUCAGAAGCAAAACUGAAAAGGGCCGGGGAUGGGGCUCAGUGGUGAAGCUGGGUUCCAUCCCUAGUACCCAAAAGAGUAAAUAAACAAAUAAAACUCUGGGUCCUGCUCUCUCUCCCUGAGGACGGGCUAAGCCCAGUCCAACACUGAAUGCUGCUGUGGAAAAUUCUUUUACGGAUGACUUUAUCUUUUCGCCUGGAUGUUCAAAUAAUUUUUUUAAAAAAGUUCAGUACAUUUGCUAAGACGUUAAUGUUCCAUCAUUUUUUCCCUAGGACAUAAUGUACGUGUUCUUUUAUGAAAUUUAAUUUUCAUUCUUAUCUAAGUCAAACAUGUACAUUGUUUAAAGUCACUCAGUCCUAUGUGCCAUGAUUUAAAACACCAGUCAGUCCUCUGCAGUUGGGACCUUCUUGCUUAUUGCUCCCCGGGGGGCCAAUACUCCCAGAUGUCCAGCUUUAUAUUUACCCUCUGUGGUGGACCCUGUUGAGCAGCUUGCUCAACACCCAUUUCUAAUUCUCUCUUCUUUCACGAUCUUCUAACUGGGGAGUGAU
This 1426-nucleotide long non-coding RNA is filed under the name Marmota monax (woodchuck). Lineage: Eukaryota; Metazoa; Chordata; Mammalia; Rodentia; Sciuridae. The record is from RNAcentral.